UGAUGUGAGGACAAUCUGGCUGCGACAUCUGUCACCCCGUUGACUGUCAGGGAUGAUUUGGUUGACCUGGCUGGCGAGGCAGGUAUCACCUUUCUCUUUCAAUGUUCCGUGUACGUCCCUCCCUAGAAGCUGCAUGCUUGGUCAAAGAGAAUGCCAACCCUCAAUAGAGGAGGACAGUUCCUCAGUCAAGGAUAGAGGCGUAGCUGUGCUCCCAUGUUAGAACCUCCAAACAAGCUCCCAAAAGAACUCCGCCAGCAUCCCUGAUCACUAGCUGCUUGCUGUGAGCAUUUCUGU
RNAcentral lists this small RNA (294 nucleotides) under Octodon degus (degu). RNAcentral's name for it is "7SK RNA (ENSODEG00000023134.1)". It matches the Rfam family "7SK RNA", at positions 1 to 250 of the family's 331-position model. Rfam says of the family: 7SK was discovered as an abundant small nuclear RNA in the mid-70s but a possible function has only recently been suggested. Two independent studies have found that 7SK RNA binds the CDK9/cyclin T complex (known as elongation factor P-TEFb). P-TEFb activates transcription by phosphorylating the C-terminal domain of RNA polymerase II. Lineage: Eukaryota; Metazoa; Chordata; Mammalia; Rodentia; Octodontidae. The record is from Rfam by way of RNAcentral.